RNAcentral lists this ribosomal RNA (429 nucleotides) under Pseudomonadota bacterium. Its description in RNAcentral is "Proteobacteria bacterium partial 16S ribosomal RNA". It matches the Rfam family "Bacterial small subunit ribosomal RNA", at positions 355 to 776 of the family's 1533-position model. The record is from RNAcentral. Lineage: Bacteria; Pseudomonadati; Pseudomonadota.
UGGGGAAUAUUGGACAAUGGGCGAAAGCCUGAUCCAGCCAUGCCGCGUGUGUGAAGAAGGUCUUCGGAUUGUAAAGCACUUUAAGUUGGGAGGAAGGGCAGUAAGCGAAUACCUUGCUGUUUUGACGUUACCGACAGAAUAAGCACCGGCUAACUCUGUGCCAGCAGCCGCGGUAAUACAGAGGGUGCAAGCGUUAAUCGGAAUUACUGGGCGUAAAGCGCGCGUAGGUGGUUCGUUAAGUUGAAUGUGAAAGCCCCGGGCUCAACCUGGGAACUGCAUCCAAAACUGGCGAGAUAGAGUAGGGCAGAGGGUGGUGGAAUUUCCUGUGUAGCGGUGAAAUGCGUAGAUAUAGGAAGAAACACCAGUGGCGAAGGCGACCACCUGGGCUCAUACUGACACUGAGGUGCGAAAGCGUGGGGAGCAAACAGG